AACGAGGCCGACCUGCGGCUGAGUUACCUGCGGAAGGAUCAUUACUGAGUGAAGGUCCCCCUUUCGGGGGGGGCCUAACCUCCCACCCGUGUCUAUUAUACCCUGUUGCUUCGGCGGGUUCUCUCCCCCAUUACUGGGGGUGUUGCCCGCCGGAGACCCCCAACAUGAACACUGUAUUGAGAGUAUUGAAGUCUGAGUUGAUUGUUACCAAUCAGUUAAAACUUUUAACAACGGAUCUCA
RNAcentral lists this unclassified non-coding RNA (240 nucleotides) under soil metagenome. Its description in RNAcentral is "partial contains 5.8S ribosomal RNA, internal transcribed spacer 2, and large subunit ribosomal RNA". The record is from RNAcentral.